GCAAAGCUCAUUAAGCUCAUGUUUUUGAAAGCACACACAUGAUUUAAUAGUUAAGAAAUGUGCCCAGGACUACAAUGCUGAGGGAUGGUUGCUGAAGUGGUUUUUUUUUUUUUUUUUUUUUUUUUUUUUUUUUUUUUGUGCCUGCGCUCCUGGGACAUUUGCUGUGCUGAGAUAUGGUGACGAAAGUGCUAAUGAAGGAUGCCAGCGGAACCCUCCAUUUCGGGCUGUCAUCCCAGAGAAGGUAGAAGUUUGCAGAUCCCUCUUCUAGAAGGGACAGUGUUUGAAAUGCACAUCUCCUUGGCCUUGAGAUCUCAAUGCCUGCAGGUUACCUCUGUCCAAAGUAAGUAUUUACCAAAAUAAGUAUGCUUUACAGGUAUUGUUAUUAGUAUUAUUUAUAUUAUUUUCUGCAUGUCUCAUGCCAUGAAAAGGUGAAAAAGCCCAGAACAUGAUUCCACUAUUGUAGAGCUGGCCUUGAAUUUCCUAGUAUAUUAAUGACAGUAAAUGAUGUAAUUCUUUUGGAGUAUUUUGGGAGUAUUUCUUCUAAGUUUUUUUAAGUCUACAUUGUUUGAUUUUAUCUUUUCCCUGGGAAAGAUUUUUUUGACACAACUUUAUAUUUAAACAGUAUUAACUAUUUCCUUUUUUUUUUUUUUUUUUUUUUUUUUACUGGCCAUUAGCUAGUGGAGGUGGAUCUCUCUAAUCAGUGGCCAGAAUAGUCUGAGAUUUUGAGGACAAGGUAGAAGAAGACUACUCUCUCUUUCACGUCCUUUUUCAUAUGUGAAGAACAGGCAGACAAAAUACGUGAACUGUCUUACCAGUAAUGGGUCCUAGUGACAAGAAGUUAUUAGACCCUCGUGAUUUAUAUCUUACAAGAUUGGUUUAAACCAAACUACCAUCAAGCACACUUCUUCAUACCCAGGAAAUACAUUUGUUGCAUCAAUGAUGUUAUGAUUUAGCUAUGAUUUUCCAUCUGGUCUUGUGUAUAAAGGAGAGCCAAACUGCCUUUGAAAUGUUGUUUCUUAAAGGUGACAAUUUCAAUCACCCCUGCUGUAGGUGGAGGGCACAGCCUAUUUCUUUUCUAAUUAAGUGCAUCAUUCCUUUCUAACAAGGUCGCACAAAGCAGGAUCAUAUGCAGGGAAAUACACUAGACCGUUGAAUGUCUAGUCUUUUUAAGAAGUUCAUCCGAUUUUAUUUUAUUUAAUAAGUACUUUCGGAUUGCUAACGAUAAGACACUAAGCUUGGUGGUGCAAGGAUAAUAAAGUCCUGUGUGACUGUUAUGUUUGAUGGUCU
This 1287-nucleotide long non-coding RNA is filed under the name Felis catus (domestic cat). RNAcentral describes it as "lncRNA (ENSFCAG00000040874.2)". Lineage: Eukaryota; Metazoa; Chordata; Mammalia; Carnivora; Felidae. The record is from RNAcentral.